RNAcentral lists this ribosomal RNA (744 nucleotides) under Borreliella bissettiae. Its description in RNAcentral is "bacterial LSU rRNA". It matches the Rfam family "Bacterial large subunit ribosomal RNA", at positions 891 to 1632 of the family's 2925-position model. Lineage: Bacteria; Pseudomonadati; Spirochaetota; Spirochaetia; Spirochaetales; Borreliaceae. The record is from RNAcentral.
GUUUAAUAGAGGUAGAGCACUAAUUGAGCUAGGGCCUGUCAAAGGGUACCAAACUCAGUUAAACUCCGAAUGCUAUUAAAUGAUGAAUAGGAGUGAGACUAUGGGCGAUAAGGUUCAUAGUCGAGAGGGAAACAACCCAGACCAACAGCUAAGGUCUCAAAAAUGUGUUAAGUGGAAAAGGAGGUUUAGGUACGUAAACAGCCAGGAGGUUGGCUUAGAAGCAGCCACACCUUUAAAGAGUGCGUAAUAGCUCACUGGUCGAGUACUUAAGCGCCGAUAAUGUAACGGGGCUAAACACAUUACCGAAGCUUUGGAUCUUAACGAAAGUUAAGAUGGUAGGGGAGCGUUCUGUAAGCCAGAGAAGUUAAACUGAAAAGUUUGAUGGAGGUAUCAGAAGUGAGAAUGCAGGUAUGAGUAACGAAAAAAUGGGUGAGAUCCCCAUUCGCCGAAAACCUAAGGUUUCCUGGGUAAAGGUCGUCUUCCCAGGGUUAGUCGGCCCCUAAGGCAAAGCUGAAAAGUGUAGUCGAUGGGAAACGGGUUAAUAUUCCCGUACCUCUUAUAGUUUCGAUGGAGUGACGCAUGAGGUUAACUACUGCUAGGCGAUGGUUGUCCUAGUUUAAGCAUUAAGGUGAUGAUCUUAAUAGGAAAAUCCGUUAAGAGAGCUAAGAUGUGAUGAUGAGUGCUAUUUAGGUAGCAUGAAAUGUAGGUAGUCAAGGUGCCAAGAAAUAACUUCUAAGGUUAGGC